Molecule: long non-coding RNA, 1063 nt
Organism: Oncorhynchus masou masou (cherry salmon)
Lineage: Eukaryota; Metazoa; Chordata; Actinopteri; Salmoniformes; Salmonidae
Exons: 3
Source: RefSeq, a predicted model, not a curated record
CAUUUUUGCUACAGCUGUGCAGCAGCAGCACACAUCAACCGAAUACACGACCUGAACAGCAGCGUGGCUGCAAAUAAUAUUUCUACAAUAUGCAAAUUAAUCGGUAUUGAUCGAAAGUAGCCGUGGAUGAUACAACAUACUGUAAUAAAUUAAAUUACUGAUGAGUGUAUCUGUUGUUUUCAGUGCCGUGAUGUCCUUGAGGAGCAGAUUCAAUCCACGAGCAUCACAGCCAAUUGUUAUGAUGUGGGGGUAGGACUCCUCCACUUUAGACCAAGCAGCCUUCACGUUUGCUGCAUUGUCUGUCACCAGUGCAAAUACCUUCUGUCGUCCAAGGAAACUGACAACCCAAGAUCAGCCAGUUGAGGACACCUGAGCCCCCCUUUGUACUGUGACUGUCUUGUACCACAAUGCUUGGCCUUCAGGGAAGCACCUCAUCCCCUAAAAUGUAUCGUUGUGUGGCUUGUUCAGCCACCUUUACUGGAUUGGCAUCCUUGUUGGUGCACCAAGCUUCUCAUGCAGUUCAAUAUGACAAGCAACCACCACAAUCUGAGAAGCAGCCUCUCUGCACUCACUGUGGUGAAGUGUUUUUAAACAAGGAGCUCCAAGACCAGCACUGCUGCAAAGCACUACCUGAGACCCCGGCUCCCUCUCUUUUUAUCUGUGAUUGUGGGGAUGAGUUUCAGAACUUUAAUGAAAUGCUGGAGCAUAAAAGAUCUCAUGUCUCAACCCCCCAGCAGCAGACCCAGACGACUGAUGCCAGAUAUUCGGACCAAGAAGAAUCCAGUCUGGUUGAACCUGUCCAACCAGUCUCCCUUCAGCCAACUCUUAGCCAAACCAUUUUGGGCCUUGGUCCCCCCUCUCAUCCCUCACCCCUAUCUCCUGUCAUUCCUAGUUCAAUUCUCCCACAGCUUAAUAGCACAUCCACUGUUCCUGAAGUCUAUACAAAUAAGGGGUUUAUUGCCCUAACCAGACCUCCAGAGCUGAACAACCUCCCUCCAGGUGCAAGUGAGCAGGAAUUACAGCCUGAUGAGCUUGACCAACCUGAGAACAGCUCUACUGCACA